Molecule: unclassified non-coding RNA, 745 nt
Filed under: Hevea brasiliensis (rubber tree)
Lineage: Eukaryota; Viridiplantae; Streptophyta; Magnoliopsida; Malpighiales; Euphorbiaceae
Source: RNAcentral
GAUAUUGAAAAGGAGGAUGCUUUCCGAGGCCUGUGUGCAAUGGUUCGAGCAAAUCCUUCAGGAGCUUUAAGCUCACUUGUUUUCAUGUGCAAAGCUAUAGCAAGUUGGCAUGAAAUAAGGAGCGAGGAGCUGCACAAUGAAGUUUGUCAGGUGUUGCAUGGUUACAAACAGAUGCUUGGAAAUGGAGGAUGGGACCAGUAUAUGUCUGCUCUGGAGCCUCCGGUGAAGGAGAAGCUUUCAAAAUAUCAAGUAUAAUGCUAUUCAAGUUUUGCUUGCUAAACCUUUGCAUACUAUUUGGGUCUUCUGUGCUGGGUAUUUGCAUCAGCCAUGAUAAUCAUUUUGCGCUUUGUCCUAUAUGAUUGGAGCCACAAGUCAUUUAGGCACAGACCAGGAUUUGGUCGCCAUUUUUUUCAUGCAAAGCAUUGGUAUUGCCAUAAUUCUAUGAAGCUUGAAGCUAAUAUGCACCUCUUCUAAGUAUUCAACAGAUUGGUUCUCUGAGUCGCAUAUGGUUCGAGAAAAAUGAAGGAAUUGGAAUAUAGAAAUGGUAGGCAGGGGUGCAGCUUCCAAGCUUUUGAGAGCAUUUUUCAUAUUGGAUGUUUUGUGUGAGAGUAUGGCCUAUAAUGAUCUCAUUAAAGCUUCCAAUAUGAAAAAUGCUUCUUUUUAUUUUUGGGUCUUAUGUUUUUGUUUUUUUCCUUCAAGAGUUGAUAGGUUUUUGUGUGAUUUUCCCAGAUUUUGUACAACAAGC